RNAcentral lists this ribosomal RNA (409 nucleotides) under uncultured bacterium. RNAcentral describes it as "bacterial SSU rRNA". It matches the Rfam family "Bacterial small subunit ribosomal RNA", at positions 355 to 776 of the family's 1533-position model. The record is from RNAcentral.
UGGGGAAUAUUGGACAAUGGGCGGAAGCCUGAUCCAGCAACGCCGCGUGAGGGAUGACGGCCUUCGGGUUGUAAACCUCUUUCAGCACAGACGAAGCGCAAGUGACGGUAUGUGCAGAAGAAGGACCGGCCAACUACGUGCCAGCAGCCGCGGUAAUACGUAGGGUCCGAGCGUUGUCCGGAAUUAUUGGGCGUAAAGGGCUCGUAGGCGGUUUGUCGCGUCGGGAGUGAAAACACCGGGCUUAACUCGGUGCUUGCUUUCGAUACGGGCAGACUAGAGGCAUUCAGGGGAGAACGGAAUUCCUGGUGUAGCGGUGAAAUGCGCAGAUAUCAGGAGGAACACCGGUGGCGAAGGCGGUUCUCUGGGAAUGUCCUGACGCUGAGGAGCGAAAGUGUGGGGAGCGAACAGG